UGUUUGGUGUACAGAAACGUUCAAUUUUGAAUUUUUGUUUAGUGCAUCGAUGCAAAUGUUUGAUUUGAAAAGUGGAUUUCAUUGAAGGUGCAACAACGCAACUGAUAAUAUUUCAUUUGUGGUUAAAAAAGAUCAAAUCAAUCGAAAUGGGAAAAGGACGAAAAACAAGCAUUCCAGAUCAGAUCCAGAAUGAAAGCAUUCAACUACAUGGCGAAAUGUAUAGUUUUACAACAGACGAACUGGCAAUCAUACUGUCGCGCUUAACUGAAUUGGGCCAUCGAUACGGUGUUAUUACUGCGUCAGAGAUUCAAACGUUAUUGCCUGUCAGUGGCGAAGGAUGGUCGGCAUGGGAAAGAUUUUUGGAACGCAUUGAAGAAUUUGCACGCGCCAAAUAUCCAAACCGACGCUGAAAACACUCAACCAUAAAUAAUAAACAAACUCAUUAUCACUUCGUAUUAGCUGUCAUUAAUCAUAAAAUAAAGUAAUUGGAUUAGGUUUCAUUUAAAUAAACAAAACCAUCAUCUUUGUUAUCAAAUUGAACUGUAUAGAGAGGGGUAAUCAAGGCAAGCAAUGCCACCGUUGCACACUUUACCUGGGUUUCCAUGCGUUUUUCAGUUUUAUCUAUGGCUUCAGUGAAAGAGAAAAAAAUCAAGCAUCAUGGAAGAGAGCAUGUAUUGACAUUCCAUAAGUUUUUUCUAUAGUUGAACUAUUGUCAUUUAUGGGAACAAAAAUUACCGAAUGAAAAACAAACAUAUACUACAUGUGCAAACUGUGAGAUGAACAGCAAAGGUUAUAAGAAGUGGUACUUUACAAUAGUACAAAGGAUUUUGUACUUUGGAACCAUGCCUGGGAUUUUUUUUUAUCUUCAAGUACUUUUACCUCCAAGACGGGACUUUUUUUAC
Molecule: long non-coding RNA, 902 nt
Organism: Contarinia nasturtii (swede midge)
Lineage: Eukaryota; Metazoa; Arthropoda; Insecta; Diptera; Cecidomyiidae
Exons: 3
Source: RefSeq, a predicted model, not a curated record